This 66-nucleotide transfer RNA is filed under the name Casinycteris ophiodon (Pohle's fruit bat). RNAcentral's name for it is "tRNA-Pro". It matches the Rfam family "tRNA". From Rfam's summary of the family: Transfer RNA (tRNA) molecules are approximately 80 nucleotides in length. Their secondary structure includes four short double-helical elements and three loops (D, anti-codon, and T loops). The record is from RNAcentral. Lineage: Eukaryota; Metazoa; Chordata; Mammalia; Chiroptera; Pteropodidae.
CAAGGAAUAGUUUAAAUAGAAUGUCAGCUUUGGGUGUUGAUGGUGGGGGGUUAGCUCCUUCCUUGA